Molecule: small RNA, 73 nt
Filed under: Xanthomonas arboricola pv. populi
Lineage: Bacteria; Pseudomonadati; Pseudomonadota; Gammaproteobacteria; Lysobacterales; Lysobacteraceae
Description: sX9 sRNA
Rfam family: Xanthomonas sRNA sX9
Source: RNAcentral
AUGUGCCACUCAUACACUGCGUUUCCUGGCACGCCGUCCGCACUAUCUGACCACUCGCGACGUUUUGUUGGUC